RNAcentral lists this ribosomal RNA (440 nucleotides) under uncultured bacterium. RNAcentral's name for it is "bacterial SSU rRNA". It matches the Rfam family "Bacterial small subunit ribosomal RNA", at positions 958 to 1398 of the family's 1533-position model. The record is from RNAcentral.
AACGCGAAGAACCUUACCCAGGUUUGAAAUUCAGGAGACGAUACUAGAGAUAGUAUUUCCCGCAAGGGCUGCUGAGUAGGUGCUGCAUGGCUGUCGUCAGCUCGUGCCGUGAGGUGUUGGGUUAAGUCCCGCAACGAGCGCAACCCUUAUCAUUAGUUGCCAACACGCGAGGUGGGAACUCUAAUGAGACUGCCCGGGUUAACCGGGAGGAAGGUGAGGAUGGACGUCAAGUCCGCAUGGCCUUUAUGUCCUGGGGCUACACACGUGCUACAAUGGUAGGUACAGAAGGCAGCAAAGCCGCAAGGUGGAGCAAAUCCGAAAAGCCUAUCUCAGUUCGGAUUGAGGUCUGCAACUCGACCUCAUGAAGCUGGAAUUGCUAGUAAUGACGUAUCAGCUACGACGUCGUGAAUACGUUCCGGGCCUUGUACACACCGGAGUGC